Molecule: ribosomal RNA, 1376 nt
Filed under: uncultured bacterium
Lineage: Bacteria
Description: 16S ribosomal RNA
Rfam family: Bacterial small subunit ribosomal RNA
Source: RNAcentral
UGAACGCUGGCGGCAGGCCUAACACAUGCAAGUCGAACGGUAACAGGAAGCAGCUUGCUGCUUCGCUGACGAGUGGCGGACGGGUGAGUAAUGUCUGGGAAACUGCCUGAUGGAGGGGGAUAACUACUGGAAACGGUAGCUAAUACCGCAUAACGUCGCAAGACCAAAGAGGGGGACCUUCGGGCCUCUUGCCAUCGGAUGUGCCCAGAUGGGAUUAGCUAGUAGGUGGGGUAACGGCUCACCUAGGCGACGAUCCCUAGCUGGUCUGAGAGGAUGACCAGCCACACUGGAACUGAGACACGGUCCAGACUCCUACGGGAGGCAGCAGUGGGGAAUAUUGCACAAUGGGCGCAAGCCUGAUGCAGCCAUGCCGCGUGUAUGAAGAAGGCCUUCGGGUUGUAAAGUACUUUCAGCGGGGAGGAAGGUGUUGAGGUUAAUAACCUCAGCAAUUGACGUUACCCGCAGAAGAAGCACCGGCUAACUCCGUGCCAGCAGCCGCGGUAAUACGGAGGGUGCAAGCGUUAAUCGGAAUUACUGGGCGUAAAGCGCACGCAGGCGGUCUGUCAAGUCGGAUGUGAAAUCCCCGGGCUCAACCUGGGAACUGCAUUCGAAACUGGCAGGCUAGAGUCUUGUAGAGGGGGGUAGAAUUUCCAGGUGUAGCGGUGAAAUGCGUAGAGAUCUGGAGGAAUACCGGUGGCGAAGGCGGCCCCCUGGACAAAGACUGACGCUCAGGUGCGAAAGCGUGGGGGAGCAAACAGGAUUAGAUACUCUGGUAGUCCACGCCGUAAACGAUGUCGACUUGGAGGUUGUGCCCUUGAGGCGUGGCUUCCGGAGCUAACGCGUUAAGUCGACCGCCUGGGGAGUACGGCCGCAAGGUUAAAACUCAAAUGAAUUGACGGGGGCCCGCACAAGCGGUGGAGCAUGUGGUUUAAUUCGAUGCAACGCGAAGAACCUUACCUACUCUUGACAUCCAGAGAACUUAGCAGAGAUGCUUUGGUGCCUUCGGGAACUCUGAGACAGGUGCUGCAUGGCUGUCGUCAGCUCGUGUUGUGAAAUGUUGGGUUAAGUCCCGCAACGAGCGCAACCCUUAUCCUUUGUUGCCAGCGGUUAGGCCGGGAACUCAAAGGAGACUGCCAGUGAUAAACUGGAGGAAGGUGGGGAUGACGUCAAGUCAUCAUGGCCCUUACGAGUAGGGCUACACACGUGCUACAAUGGCGCAUACAAAGAGAAGCGACCUCGCGAGAGCAAGCGGACCUCAUAAAGUGCGUCGUAGUCCGGAUUGGAGUCUGCAACUCGACUCCAUGAAGUCGGAAUCGCUAGUAAUCGUGGAUCAGAAUGCCACGGUGAAUACGUUCCCGGGCCUUGUACACACCGCC